Long non-coding RNA from Physeter macrocephalus (sperm whale), 1533 nucleotides. RefSeq lists it as uncharacterized. Lineage: Eukaryota; Metazoa; Chordata; Mammalia; Artiodactyla; Physeteridae. The transcript has 3 exons. The record is from RefSeq and is a predicted model, not a curated record.
UGGAGUGGGAUGGAAGGGUAGUGACGGGCCACACCCACAGGCCCUCUGGUGGCACUGGGAAAGCCAGAGCCCGUGUGGCUUCCAUGCCCUGACGUCCCCUUUUAGCCCAGUCUCAGUGCCCUUUGGCAGAUCAGACGCCCCUCCCUGAGCUGACAGCCUGAAGGAUCCUUACCAGCAUCACUGGCCCAGAGAUGCCAGCCCCCUCUGGUGUGCCGAUGACUCCCUGGUGGCACCUGAGUGGGGCAGACGUCACACCAGCUCUGGGCCCACUUGUCCCAGGCUCCUGAGAACCACUUCCCAGCAGGGUGAGGACCCCAGAGCGACUGCCUUGUUCUGCAAGCCUGGAAGAGAGGGAUUUCAGGCCCUGGUCUGUGGGCAGCAUUGAGUGAUGACUUCUACACGUAACUACUUGUGCUCCCCCUUUGCAGCAUGCGGGAUCUUUAGUUGAGGCACGUGUUCUCUAACCAGGGAUCAAACCUUGGCCCCCUGAGUUGGGUGCGUGGAGUCGUAGCCAUUGGACUACCAGCUGGGAAGAACAGUCUGGGGGCAAAGGUGGACACGGGGAGAGUGUGGAUGUGUUUUGAAGAUCUGGAAGCCAACAGAAUUUCCUAACAGAUUGGAUUUGGGCUGCGGAGAGAAGAGGCAUAGUGGACAUGACUCCAGUGUUCCGGAAGGAUGGAGAUGUUAUUCCAGUUGGGGAGGCUGCAAGAGGAGCCUGCCUGGGGGUGAGGAUUAGGAACUGGUUUGGUUUGUGUUCCUUAGAGAUGCCCUGCAGUCACCCAGGUGGAGAGGACUGAUGCCACCUCCCCCAGGUUCCCGUGCAGCAUGUGUCACCUGUGCAGGUGAAAGAAGGAGGAAGGGGACCUCUCUGCUCAGGGAGGAGCUUUCGGAGACGUGAGGCACUGGAGGUGCAAGCUGUAAAGGAGGUUCCAGAAAGGAUCACAUACCUCGAGAGUUGGGGUAUGACCAGAUCCUGGGGUUUCCCAGCCUGAGAUCCGGGACCCUUCUGCAAGCUGGCCUGGGGGUCACGUGGGGAGGGAGGUCAGUAGGGGACUCCCCGAGGAUAGCUGGGAUGCUCACCUCGCUAGUACUUUCAAGGACACUUGUCAGCUGUGUCACCAGCUGUAAGCAAUUCAUUUUAGGUGGAAGCAGACAGGGCACAGAGUGAGAAAGGUACUCCUUCCAUCCUCUUCCUGCCCUGCCAUUACAUCAGGGAGAGUCUUGGGUGGGUGCUACGCCAUCUUUAACACCUCUCUGAUACUUGCUAAUCUCCCUUCUUAACCAAGGGAUGGGGUCUAAAGCUCAGGGCCUUUGCAGGCAACAGUGUUUGGCUAGAAUUUAGCAAUGUCGCUUUACGUUCUGUCUCUCCAGUCUACUGUGACCUUGUACGUAUGGCAAAUUAAACAGUGUUCGAAGUUUCUUUUAAAUACAUCUAAGUUGAAAAUGUGAAUGGGUCUAGCAAUGGACAUUCAAUAAAUAAAUGUGGCAGACAUCAUGGAGGUGAUGUGUAAAUACCCAGCAACUGGGAAACGU